UUAAGCGACUAAGCGUACACGGUGGAUGCCCUGGCAGUCAGAGGCGAUGAAGGACGUGCUAAUCUGCGAAAAGCGUCGGUAAGGUGAUAUGAACCGUUAUAACCGGCGAUGUCCGAAUGGGGAAACCCAGUGCAAUUCGUUGCACUAUCGUUAACUGAAUACAUAGGUUAACGAGGCGAACCGGGGGAACUGAAACAUCUAAGUACCCCGAGGAAAAGAAAUCAACCGAGAUUCCCCCAGUAGCGGCGAGCGAACGGGGAGCAGCCCAGAGUCUGAAUCAGCUUGUGUGUUAGUGGAACGGUCUGGAAAGUCCGACGGUACAGGGUGAUAGUCCCGUACACCAAAAUGCACAGGCUGUGAACUCGAAGAGUAGGGCGGGACACGUGGUAUCCUGUCUGAAUAUGGGGGGACCAUCCUCCAAGGCUAAAUACUCCUGACUGACCGAUAGUGAACCAGUACCGUGAGGGAAAGGCGAAAAGAACCCCGGCGAGGGGAGUGAAAAAGAACCUGAAACCGUGUACGUACAAGCAGUGGGAGCACCUUCGGGUGUGACUGCGUACCUUUUGUAUAAUGGGUCAGCGACUUAUAUUCUGUAGCAAGGUUAACCGUAUAGGGGAGCCGCAGGGAAACCGAGUCUUAACUGGGCGUUAAGUUGCAGGGUAUAGACCCGAAACCCGGUGAUCUAGCCAUGGGCAGGUUGAAGGUUGGGUAACACUAACUGGAGGACCGAACCGACUAAUGUUGAAAAAUUAGCGGAUGACUUGUGGCUGGGGGUGAAAGGCCAAUCAAACCGGGAGAUAGCUGGUUCUCCCCGAAAGCUAUUUAGGUAGCGCCUCGUGAAUUCAUCUUCGGGGGUAGAGCACUGUUUCGGCUAGGGGGUCAUCCCGACUUACCAACCCGAUGCAAACUACGAAUACCGAAGAAUGUUAUCACGGGAGACACACGGCGGGUGCUAACGUCCGUCGUGAAGAGGGAAACAACCCAGACCGCCAGCUAAGGUCCCAAAGUCAUGGUUAAGUGGGAAACGAUGUGGGAAGGCACAGACAGCCAGGAUGUUGGCUUAGAAGCAGCCAUCAUUUAAAGAAAGCGUAAUAGCUCACUGGUCGAGUCGGCCUGCGCGGAAGAUGUAACGGGGCUAAACCAUGCACCGAAGCUGCGGCAGCGACACUAUGUGUUGUUGGGUAGGGGAGCGUUCUGUAAGCCUGCGAAGGUGUGCUGUGAGGCAUGCUGGAGGUAUCAGAAGUGCGAAUGCUGACAUAAGUAACGAUAAAGCGGGUGAAAAGCCCGCUCGCCGGAAGACCAAGGGUUCCUGUCCAACGUUAAUCGGGGCAGGGUGAGUCGACCCCUAAGGCGAGGCCGAAAGGCGUAGUCGAUGGGAAACAGGUUAAUAUUCCUGUACUUGGUGUUACUGCGAAGGGGGGACGGAGAAGGCUAUGUUAGCCGGGCGACGGUUGUCCCGGUUUAAGCAUGUAGGCUGGUUGUCCAGGCAAAUCCGGAUAAUCAAGGCUGAGGUGUGAUGACGAGGCACUACGGUGCUGAAGUAACAAAUGCCCUGCUUCCAGGAAAAGCCUCUAAGCAUCAGGUAACAUCAAAUCGUACCCCAAACCGACACAGGUGGUCAGGUAGAGAAUACCAAGGCGCUUGAGAGAACUCGGGUGAAGGAACUAGGCAAAAUGGUGCCGUAACUUCGGGAGAAGGCACGCUGGUGUGUAGGUGAAGCCCCUGCGGGUGGAGCUGAGACCAGUCGAAGAUACCAGCUGGCUGCAACUGUUUAUUAAAAACACAGCACUGUGCAAACACGAAAGUGGACGUAUACGGUGUGACGCCUGCCCGGUGCCGGAAGGUUAAUUGAUGGGGUUAUCCGUAAGGAGAAGCUCUUGAUCGAAGCCCCGGUAAACGGCGGCCGUAACUAUAACGGUCCUAAGGUAGCGAAAUUCCUUGUCGGGUAAGUUCCGACCUGCACGAAUGGCGUAAUGAUGGCCAGGCUGUCUCCACCCGAGACUCAGUGAAAUUGAACUCGCUGUGAAGAUGCAGUGUACCCGCGGCAAGACGGAAAGACCCCGUGAACCUUUACUAUAGCUUGACACUGAACAUUGAGCCUUGAUGUGUAGGAUAGGUGGGAGGCUUUGAAGCGUGGACGCCAGUCUGCGUGGAGCCAACCUUGAAAUACCACCCUUUAAUGUUUGAUGUUCUAACGUUGGCCCCUUACCGGGGUUGCGGACAGUGUCUGGUGGGUAGUUUGACUGGGGCGGUCUCCUCCCAAAGCGUAACGGAGGAGCACGAAGGUUAGCUAAUCCUGGUCGGACAUCAGGAGGUUAGUGCAAUGGCAUAAGCUAGCUUGACUGCGAGCGUGACGGCGCGAGCAGGUGCGAAAGCAGGUCAUAGUGAUCCGGUGGUUCUGAAUGGAAGGGCCAUCGCUCAACGGAUAAAAGGUACUCCGGGGAUAACAGGCUGAUACCGCCCAAGAGUUCAUAUCGACGGCGGUGUUUGGCACCUCGAUGUCGGCUCAUCACAUCCUGGGGCUGAAGUAGGUCCCAAGGGUAUGGCUGUUCGCCAUUUAAAGUGGUACGCGAGCUGGGUUUAGAACGUCGUGAGACAGUUCGGUCCCUAUCUGCCGUGGGCGCUGGAGAAUUGAGGGGGCUGCUCCUAGUACGAGAGGACCGGAGUGGACGCAUCACUGGUGUUCGGGUUGUCAUGCCAAUGGCACUGCCCGGUAGCUAAAUGCGGAAGAGAUAAGUGCUGAAAGCAUCUAAGCACGAAACUUGCCCCGAGAUGAGUUCUCCCUGAGACUUUAAGUCUCCUGAAGGAACGUUGAAGACGACGACGUUGAUAGGCCGGGUGUGUAAGCGCAGCGAUGCGUUGAGCUAACCGGUACUAAUGAACCGUGAGGCUUAACCUU
Molecule: ribosomal RNA, 2899 nt
Filed under: Klebsiella pneumoniae
Lineage: Bacteria; Pseudomonadati; Pseudomonadota; Gammaproteobacteria; Enterobacterales; Enterobacteriaceae
Description: bacterial LSU rRNA
Rfam family: Bacterial large subunit ribosomal RNA
Source: RNAcentral